AUAGCUCCCUACCUUCUCGUUCUCUCUCCACAUUUGGGAAUUUGAUACGUUAGUUUCUCUCUCCCACCUUCUCAUUCUCUCUUCACGUUUUGGAAUUUGAUACAUCAGCUUCUCUCUUUUUUCUCUCCAAUUUAUUUUUUUAGUUUCUCAUUCUCACCAUAACUCUCACCACUUUCUUCUCCUAAAAUCAUUCAAUUAGAACUCUCACUGCAAGAUUCUCCACAAUAAACUCUCAUAUUAAUAGCCAUAAAUUUCAAAAAAUUUAUUAGGUUUAUUAGAGUUCAAAAUAGGAAAUCACAUUCGGAUCAAAAUUUGGAGUGUUUUGUUGAUUUAUACUGAAUAUGGGGAAGAAAAGUUCUUCAAAAAACUUUAGCAAGAAUCAUGCUUCUGAUUCUGAUUUUGAACAUUCCUAUUCUGAAAAUUCUGAUUUUGUAGAUUCUAAUAUGGAUAAUUCUAUUUCUGAAGAUUCUGAUUUUGAAGAUUCUCCACCAAAGGUUUUGAAAUAUAAACAUGCAGCAAGCCUUGUUGAGCCGAAAAAGAGAAAGCGUAAAGAUAGUGAAGAGGAUGCCAAUGUGGGUUUAAAACCUGCAAAGCGAAAGGCAAAAAAAAAAAAAAAAAAAGCGGUGAUGAAGUAGAAAAUCGCCAAUUGGAGGACUAGGGUUAUUAUGUCCCAAGGGAUACAAAAUUCUACCAUGUAUUUUUGGGCAUCUCAAGGUCCAAUCACUGGUCCAAAAUUCUCAAAGUUCUCACUUCUCACUUUAGGUGGAAUCCUUUAGCCUUAUUUUUUAUAGUUAUAACAUUGUUGUUACAGACUUAUUCUUAUAUCAGCAGAUGUUGUUUCAGUGUUAACUUUUUUAGUUAAAUUAUUUAUCAUUUUCUAGUUAAAAUAACCGGAUAGGUACAUGAAAGGAAUAGUGUGGCUAAUGAAAAUGAUAAUGGUGCAACCAAUCCCAAAGAACACCAAUCAGUUGAGGUAUAUUUUAGUGUAAAUUAUAUAAAUUCUAACUUUAACUCUUACUUAAUUGAUUUAAGUUUGUCAUGAUGAUAUAGGUUCAUAGAGUCGAGAAUGACGAUGAUUUCUUGGAUGCAUCUUACCCCAUCAAUGAACAGUCUCAUAAUGAAAUGCUUUGUAAAAAUGAUGACAAGCGUGAGACGAUCGCAUGCCAAAUUGGAUCUGAAUGCAAUCCGAGUGAUGGCAACUUAUCGCCCGUUCAUGGGCUGCCUACAUUUGACGGUGGUGAUUAUAGUCUUCCAACGGACUCUCAAAUAAUGGUAGCGUAUGACCAGUCUAUUAAUCAACACUCGAGAUUGAAGGAUCCACUGGUUCCGCGGCCUAUCAAUAUCAAAGACCUUGAAGUGACAGAAGAUCCGACUCCCAAACCUCCAAAAAGAGCCAAGUUUCCUGGGAGAUUACAAAUGUAACCAUUCGUCACCAUUCCUGAUAGUGCUGAGAGUAGUAAAGCAGUUCGGAGUAAAAAAAAAAAAAAAAUUUACUGUCAAACAUCCAUUCAACGUAGAGAUUGGGGUAGAUGUUGACAUGGAAACAUCCAAUGAAUUGUCUCACUUUGAAAACAGAUGACUUAUGCAAGGUUGAGCAUUUGAAUCUCCACGUGCACUGGUCAUUAACACACACAAGAGAGUACCUAAAACAAGUAAACUCAAAAAUUAAAUAUACAAC
This is a long non-coding RNA of Lycium barbarum (goji berry), 1678 nucleotides long. RefSeq lists it as uncharacterized. Lineage: Eukaryota; Viridiplantae; Streptophyta; Magnoliopsida; Solanales; Solanaceae. The record is from RefSeq and is a predicted model, not a curated record. The transcript is spliced from 3 exons.